UACGAAGGGUGCAAGCGUUAAUCGGAAUUACUGGGCGUAAAGCGCGCGUAGGUGGUUCGUUAAGUUGGAUGUGAAAGCCCCGGGCUCAACCUGGGAACUGCAUCCAAAACUGGCGAGCUAGAGUACGGUAGAGGGUGGUGGAAUUUCCUGUGUAGCGGUGAAAUGCGUAGAUAUAGGAAGGGACACCAGUGGCGAAGGCGACCACCUGGACCAACACUGACACUGAGGUGCGAAAGCGUGGGGAGCAAACAGG
Molecule: ribosomal RNA, 253 nt
Filed under: uncultured bacterium
Lineage: Bacteria
Description: partial 16S ribosomal RNA
Rfam family: Bacterial small subunit ribosomal RNA
Source: RNAcentral